RNAcentral lists this ribosomal RNA (484 nucleotides) under uncultured bacterium. RNAcentral's name for it is "partial 16S ribosomal RNA". It matches the Rfam family "Bacterial small subunit ribosomal RNA", at positions 30 to 507 of the family's 1533-position model. The record is from RNAcentral.
AUUGAACGCUGGCGGCAGGCCUAACACAUGCAAGUCGAGCGGAUGAAGGGAGCUUGCUCCUGGAUUCAGCGGCGGACGGGUGAGUAAUGCCUAGGAAUCUGCCUGGUAGUGGGGGAUAACGUCCGGAAACGGGCGCUAAUACCGCAUACGUCCUGAGGGAGAAAGUGGGGGAUCUUCGGACCUCACGCUAUCAGAUGAGCCUAGGUCGGAUUAGCUAGUUGGUGGGGUAAAGGCCUACCAAGGCGACGAUCCGUACCUGGUCUGAGAGGAUGAUCAGUCACACUGGAACUGAGACACGGUCCAGACUCCUACGGGAGGCAGCAGUGGGGAAUAUUGGACAAUGGGCGAAAGCCUGAUCCAGCCAUGCCGCGUGUGUGAAGAAGGUCUUCGGAUUGUAAAGCACUUUAAGUUGGGAGGAAGAGCAGUAAGUUAAUACCUUGCUGUUUUGACGUUACCAACAGAAUAAGCACCGGCUAACUUCGUG